GUCGAACGAACUCUUCGGAGUUAGUGGCGGACGGGUGAGUAACACGUGGGAACGUGCCUUUAGGUUCGGAAUAACUCAGGGAAACUUGUGCUAAUACCGAAUGUGCCCUUCGGGGGAAAGAUUUAUCGCCUUUAGAGCGGCCCGCGUCUGAUUAGCUAGUUGGUGAGGUAAAGGCUCACCAAGGCGACGAUCAGUAGCUGGUCUGAGAGGAUGAUCAGCCACAUUGGGACUGAGACACGGCCCAAACUCCUACGGGAGGCAGCAGUGGGGAAUCUUGCGCAAUGGGCGAAAGCCUGACGCAGCCAUGCCGCGUGAAUGAUGAAGGUCUUAGGAUUGUAAAAUUCUUUCACCGGGGACGAUAAUGACGGUACCCGGAGAAGAAGCCCCGGCUAACUUCGUGCCAGCAGCCGCGGUAAUACGAAGGGGGCUAGCGUUGCUCGGAAUUACUGGGCGUAAAGGGAGCGUAGGCGGACAUUUAAGUCAGGGGUGAAAUCCCGGGGCUCAACCUCGGAAUUGCCUUUGAUACUGGGUGUCUUGAGUAUGAGAGAGGUGUGUGGAACUCCGAGUGUAGAGGUGAAAUUCGUAGAUAUUCGGAAGAACACCAGUGGCGAAGGCGACACACUGGCUCAUUACUGACGCUGAGGCUCGAAAGCGUGGGGAGCAAACAGGAUUAGAUACCCUGGUAGUCCACGCCGUAAACGAUGAUUGCUAGUUGUCGGGAUGCAUGCAUUUCGGUGACGCAGCUAACGCAUUAAGC
This 757-nucleotide ribosomal RNA is filed under the name Brevundimonas vesicularis. RNAcentral describes it as "bacterial SSU rRNA". It matches the Rfam family "Bacterial small subunit ribosomal RNA", at positions 61 to 865 of the family's 1533-position model. Lineage: Bacteria; Pseudomonadati; Pseudomonadota; Alphaproteobacteria; Caulobacterales; Caulobacteraceae. The record is from RNAcentral.